AUUGAACGCUGGCGGAAUGCUUUACACAUGCAAGUCGAACGGCAGCACGGACUUCGGUCUGGUGGCGAGUGGCGAACGGGUGAGUAAUGUAUCGGAACGUGCCCAGUCGUGGGGGAUAACGUAGUGAAAAUUACGCUAAUACCGCAUACGAUCUAUGAAUGAAAGCGGGGGAUCGCAAGACCUCGCGCGAUUGGAGCGGCCGAUAUCAGAUUAGGUAGUUGGUGGGGUAAAGGCCCACCAAGCCAACGAUCUGUAGCUGGUCUGAGAGGACGACCAGCUACACUGGAACUGAGAAACUGUCCAGACUCCUACGGGAGGCAGCAGUGGGGAAUUGUGGACAAUGGGCGAAAGCCGGAUCCAGCCAUUCCGCGUGGAGGAUAAAGGCCCUCGGGUUGGAAACUGCUUUUGUACAGAACGAAAAGGUUUCUACUAAUACUGGGAGCUCAUGACGGUACUGUAAGAAUAAGCACCGGCUAACUACGUGCCAGCAGCCGCCGUAA
Molecule: ribosomal RNA, 500 nt
Filed under: uncultured bacterium
Lineage: Bacteria
Description: partial 16S ribosomal RNA
Rfam family: Bacterial small subunit ribosomal RNA
Source: RNAcentral